AUUGAACGCUGGCGGUAUGCUUAACACAUGCAAGUCGAACGGUAACAGGCCUUCGGGCGCUGACGAGUGGCGGACGGGUGAGUAACGCGUAGGAAUCUGCCUCAUAGUGGGGGACAACGUGGGGAAACUCACGCUAAUACCGCAUACGCCCUACGGGGAAAGGAGGGGAUCUUCGGACCUUUCGCUAUGAGAUGAGCCUGCGUUAGAUUAGCUAGUUGGUAGGGUAAAGGCCUACCAAGGCGACGAUCUAUAGCUGGUCUGAGAGGACGAUCAGCCACACUGGGACUGAGACACGGCCCAGACUCCUACGGGAGGCAGCAGNGGGGAAUAUUGGACAAUGGGCGAACGCCUGAUCCAGCAAUACCGCGUGUGUGAAGAANGCCUUAGGGUUGUAAAGCACUUUCAAUUGGGAGGAAAACCUGCCGGCCAAUACCCGGUAGCUUGACAUUACCUUUAGAAGAAGCACCGGCUAACUCCGUGC
RNAcentral lists this ribosomal RNA (481 nucleotides) under uncultured freshwater bacterium LCK-65. Its description in RNAcentral is "bacterial SSU rRNA". It matches the Rfam family "Bacterial small subunit ribosomal RNA", at positions 30 to 508 of the family's 1533-position model. The record is from RNAcentral.